This 253-nucleotide ribosomal RNA is filed under the name uncultured bacterium. RNAcentral describes it as "partial 16S ribosomal RNA". It matches the Rfam family "Bacterial small subunit ribosomal RNA", at positions 524 to 776 of the family's 1533-position model. The record is from RNAcentral.
UACGGAGGGUGCAAGCGUUAUCCGAGUUUAUUGGGUUUAAAGGGUCCGUAGGCGGAUCUGUAAGUCAGUGGUGAAAUCUCACAGCUUAACUGUGAAACUGCCAUUGAUACUGCAGGUCUUGAGUAAAGUAGAAGUGGCUGGAAUAAGUAGUGUAGCGGUGAAAUGCAUAGAUAUUACUUAGAACACCAAUUGCGAAGGCAGGUCACUAUGUUUUAACUGACGCUGAUGGACGAAAGCGUGGGGAGCGAACAGG